AGCAAGAGCUAUUCACUGAAAUUGUUCAGCAAAUAAUGGUAAAGUUUCCCCUUAAUUUUGCAUUUGCUGGUUUUCUUAGCAGGGAUAUGGCCAAUGGCUGCCCCUGUGAGUCAGCAAGCCUUGGAAGGACAUGUGACUUGUUCAUGUGACUCUGGACUCCAUCUUGUGGCAGUGAUUUUCCACAAACUGUUUGUGAGCUUUGUUUGGGACAGGCAAAUUCCAAGGCAUGGCAGAGGGUAUAAAAGACCCUUGAAAUAUCUCCAUGUUGCCUCUUUCCUGCUCUGAUUCUUGGGACAAUGGAUUUACAACUAAAAGGAGCAUAUUGACUAUAAACCCAGGAUCUUCCAGAGUUACCAGAGACUUUACAAACGUCACUGCUACAAACCUGAUAUAAGAACAUUACAAUCAUUACAUAUGCGCUGCUGUCAGAGAGAGGAGCUGCAGUCCUGCCUGCUCUGCUCAAGCAUCCAGACGCCUGCUGGGGUACCGGCGAUAUAACCAGCAGUAGGCAGCCUCCUAGAGACCAACUUCUCCACCAGCCGGAGAACAACUGAAGGCUGACAGAUGGUGACGCCUUAUAUGGGAGAGUAUGACACCAUUAGAAGCUUUCCUGUUCUGUCUCCAUCUUCUGACUGGGAGAAGAUAAAACCCCAAGUGUUUAGGUUGGAAUAGACCAUCAAAAAGGGAUAUUCCAAUUAUUCUCAGAUAAGAAAUGGGUGCACAUCACCCUCAAGAGGUGCAUGUCAAAAAACAAAAUUAUGUGAAUAUUCUUUCAAAUGAAUGAACCCAGGCAUUGCCAGACUGGAUCAGACUGAUGGUCCAGUGUUCUCUCACCAACAGUGGCCAGAUGCUUCAGAGGAAGGUGCAGGAAAGCCUACAAAAGGCCAAUGUGGGGUAAUCUUCCCUCUAUGAAGUUCUCAUCCCAAUCCCUACUAGUUGGAGAUUGAUUUAAGACCUGAAGCACCAGACUUACGUUGCUUCCCAUACUCUUUGUUAGCAUUAACUGUGUGAUAAAUCUAGAUGUUCUUGUUAUCCAUACAAAUGUCCUAUUCCUCUUUGCAUAUUUGCAAACUUCCUGGCUUCAGCGAUAUCCUGUGAAGCCAGUUUGCUCUGGCUGUGUUUGCCAACUGGUUUGCUGGUGGUAAUGUUCACAAUCGCAGCACAUUUUAAGCAAGUCUUGCAGAACAUUCACAGACAGCAACAUUUUCAACUAGUAAGUGCUGUUUGCAUGGGAGAGCUAUUUCUCAGAGCGAUGCCCAUCUAAUGAAAGUCAUGGAACAGAAACAUACAGUGUGACCAGAUUUGAGUGCAAUCUCAAAGCCUGAAAGUGGAUUAACAAAUACUUGCAGUGAUCAAAAGUUCAUCAUGGAAAUAUAUGAUGGAAAAACUGUGGAUAAUAAAUAAAUUCAUGAAAAACACAAUCUGGACAAUUUGUGAAAAUAAAGUUUUCAUC
Molecule: long non-coding RNA, 1453 nt
Organism: Mauremys mutica (yellowpond turtle)
Lineage: Eukaryota; Metazoa; Chordata; Testudines; Geoemydidae
Exons: 4
Source: RefSeq, a predicted model, not a curated record